Triticum aestivum (bread wheat) is the source of this 1132-nucleotide long non-coding RNA. RefSeq lists it as uncharacterized. NCBI's taxonomy places the organism in Eukaryota, Viridiplantae, Streptophyta, Magnoliopsida, Poales, Poaceae. The record is from RefSeq and is a predicted model, not a curated record. The transcript has 3 exons.
GAAAAUCUCUCGGUCCUUCCUUUUUCGUUCUCAGGGAGAGGCGGCAAAGAGAGAGAAAGGGGAGCAGCCGCCGCUUCUUCCACCGGCCCAUCCCCCGCCGGUCGCAGCCGCAUACCCUAGGCCUGGUUCUUGAGGGAGUACCUCCUGCGGCAAGCCACGGGAGCCAGCAUCGUCCGUGCCCCGCCGACGAGAUCUAGAAUCCCUUAGAUUUCUCCGUCCUUGGUUGGGUUGUGCCAAGGUUCCGGCGUGGCCUAGCUGCUAGUUAAGUUGUGGGCUGAUCUCACCAUGAAGCUACUGUCCCACUCCUUCACAAAAGGCAGUAAAUAGGUAAUCCUUACCUCUCUAAUUUUUUUCUGCAAUUUAAUUUAGUUGUCACUGCAAAAAAUUUAAAAAAUGAAAAAAAAUACAUUGGAGAGUUUUGUUGGUUGAUCUAAUGAUUUAAUCAAUGCAUGGUUUGUGAGACUGCCAUACUUAUAGGAAUGUGAGUAUUUUAGACGGUUGAGAAUUAAGGAUAUGGGAUGUACCACGACCCUAAGUUCGAGCACACUACCUGUGAAAGAAAUCUUUAUGAGUGAUGCACCACAAUCUACAAAGAUGUGUGUUCCAUUUCAUUGUUUCUUUAUCAUUUAGCCAAUGUCACCGCUUGGUCGGCAACAUGUUGAAGUUGUUCUCGAUGCUAAAAACUUGCAACAUGCUGAAUUUCGCACCCUUGAUAAAAUGGGUUGCAAAUUUAGCUGGGCAGCCCCCCUCCUCUGCUUUGGUGCUCACUGAUGCAACAAAGUGAUCAGCUUACAACAACACCACCAGCAAAUUUUGCUUCGCAGAAGAAUGAAAAGGUCUCCUGUACUAAAGAGAUUCCAGGGAGAGAAAAAGGACACUGAUGGUUUACCGACUGCCAGCGAAGCCACAAAAAGGCUAAUAUAAAUUUCUUUUGAGAGAUUCUACUUUUGCACCACUUCUUUCUGUGAUACAGUCUCUGGAGAAUCAUAAGAAUAUUGUUAGGAAAAAAUACAAGCACCUCAGACUAAAGUACAUACACAACCGAGGUCAUUUUUUCUAGCAGAUUCUUGUACUCCUUUUAGUUGUUGUACCGAAGUUGUGUCAAUUAAUUUGGAUCGGAGGGAUACCAAAA